AUGAAAUAAUUUUUCAUAUAAGUAAGGGAAAAUUGAUUUUCUUAUUUAAAAAAUUAUUUUGUUUUUACGAUGAAGAAUUUGAUUGAUAGAUUGUUGAAACUGUCUGGAAAAUAUUAUGAUUGUAGACAUUCUGCCAUAUGUAAAAGAAAUAAAAGAGCAGUACAGCACUAAGCAGAAAAGAAUCUUUUAUUUCACAAAAGAAACGUUUUCGACCACUGUCAACUCAUCUACUUCUGCUUUAGUUAUCUGUUACACAGAGACCCGGGAUGUUUCUCCAGGUUGUUUAUUUAUAAAACUGAAAAGGCCAUUUGUUGGUGACAUAUAUCUACA
This 330-nucleotide long non-coding RNA is filed under the name Androctonus crassicauda. The record is from RNAcentral. Lineage: Eukaryota; Metazoa; Arthropoda; Arachnida; Scorpiones; Buthidae.